AGCCUUGGAAAUCCAUCUGACACACAUGUUGUAUCAGAGGAGGGAAUAUUUCAUGGCCUAGUUAAGACAUGGGAAGCAUGUCAUAGCAUUGAAUAAAUAUGCCCUGUAGAGUGUGCAUAGUUGGAAGAGCAUGAGUAUUGAUGUAAAGCCCUAUAUUAUGGAAGUGAUUUGGGAUAUUGAUUUGCUUCAGUACUUAGCAGUCCUCUCCUUGCAUAUCUCCUCCAUUUCUAAGGUACUUUAAAGAAACGGACAAGUGGAAACCAUUCAGAAGAGACCCCCCCUCCAUGAAAGAAAGCUCUUUUGGUUUCUGUUCUGAACUCAUAGCAGUAUAAGCAAUCCCAGGUGAACCAUUGAUGAUGCUCAGGGCUUUUAAAGCUCUUCUGCCUAUCCACACUUGGGCCCACUGAGCACAGCUGCUGCUGGUGUCAGGUUCUUCACCUGCAUGAUGCUGGCAAGGGAAUUGAGGAUUUCCACCUGCUCAUCAUUCUGUGGAAUCACACGAAACACCUUCUGUCUGGAAAGGGAGAAAAGGAUUGGAUUUGAAACAGAUGCUACUUAACAUGUGAGCAGGUAAUGGAUAAGGAGAGAAAAGAAUGGCAGUAAUGAGAUCUUGGGUAUGGAGCAAAAAAAAGGCAGCUCUCAUGACUUUGGGAUGAGUUUGUACCACUGCUAUUGACUCAUCAGCUUCCAACCCUGAAAUCAGAUCUGCUAGGAAGGAAUGAAGAAGGAGUAGAGAGAGAGACCACACUUUGAUCCACCGCCUCCUGAAACAUCACAGCUACCUGAAAUCCUUUCAAUUUCUGUGAAUUAUUUAAAAUGUUGGGUUUUUUCUUAAAAAGUAUAUAUUUUGAUGUGGAAAUGUUGCUGUAGUGUCUCAAGGAAAAGGCGGAAAAGACAUCCCAAGGCCCAGUGCUGUGUUCUGCAGGCAGUAUGUCACACCCGUGAUGUUCUGUGACUAAGCACUCCAGCCAUGGAGCAGCUCAGCUGCUUGUUUGAUGCAAAUGCCAUUAGGAGAUCUGGUCCAGGAGCCUGGCCAGAUUAAAAAAAUAAUUCAAGUAUGUAAAAAUAUGGAAUAUAUACCUAUAUGCUAUUUUUCCCCUAUAAAACUCCAUAAUACUCCUACCUUGAGAAAUUUCAUAGUGAAAGAUGAUGUUCCUUCCCUGUUGUGCUUAGCUGGUUUUUACUACUAUGCAGCAGACUGCCUGUAGAAGGGUUGGGGAAUUUUUUCCUCUUGGUUUGCUGCCAAAGAUUUUCCUACCUAAGCAAAGCUGACGCUUGGUAUGUUCAGGAUGUUGCAGUAUGUUAUAUGUCAAACAUUUGACUUUGUUUUCUCACUGGAAGGCUUGCAACAGAAGUUUGGGAUUUUGCUUGUUUCUGAUUCAUACACAAUUUUAAAUUAAAUAUUUUGCUUCCUUUAUGCUACCUUUGUAUUUUCUGAAUGAAGUUAAUUGCUGGAACUUCUCUCAUGUUUGAAGAAACUGGUAAUGGUUAUUCAAUCAGGGAAAUCAGAAUAGGUCAUGAUGUUCAAUACCUCCCCCUCACUGAAUAACAGGCUUCUGAAAAUUGAAAUAAGAGAUUUUGUCAUGAAACAAAGGUGAUUAGUUUGGCUUACUGCAAAUAAUUCUGGAUUGAAUUAAGAAUGUAUGCAGAAAGAUGAGAAAGUGCUCUCUUCAUCAACUUUCUCCUUCAUUAUAUUCAAAGAUGGGACCCUAACAUCCAAAAUAGUUAGAAUUGUAGUCUAUCUGUCACAUUUCAUUAAAUACUGAUAUGAGUGGGGGGUGGGUGGAAGGUGGAUCACUUUGUUCAAGGCAGAUUCAUCACA
Molecule: long non-coding RNA, 1822 nt
Organism: Neopelma chrysocephalum (saffron-crested tyrant-manakin)
Lineage: Eukaryota; Metazoa; Chordata; Aves; Passeriformes; Pipridae
Exons: 5
Source: RefSeq, a predicted model, not a curated record